RNAcentral lists this ribosomal RNA (400 nucleotides) under uncultured bacterium. RNAcentral describes it as "bacterial SSU rRNA". It matches the Rfam family "Bacterial small subunit ribosomal RNA", at positions 355 to 772 of the family's 1533-position model. The record is from RNAcentral.
UGGGGAAUCUUGCACAAUGGAGGAAACUCUGAUGCAGCGACGCCGCGUGAGCGAAGAAGCCUUUCGGGGUGUAAAGCUCUUACGCCAGGGACGAUAAUGACGGUACCUGGAGAAGCAGCUGCGGCUAACUACGUGCCAGCAGCCGCGGUAAUACGUAGGCAGCAAGCGUUGUUCGGAAUUACUGGGCGUAAAGGGUGCGUAGGCGGCGCUCUAAGUUUGGUGUGAAAUCUCCCGGCUUAACUGGGAGGGUGCACUGAAAACUGGGGCGCUCGAGUAUGGGAGAGGAAAGCGGAAUUCCUGGUGUAGCGGUGAAAUGCGUAGAGAUCAGGAGGAACACCUGCGGUGCAGACGGCUUUCUGGACCAUCACUGACGCUGAGGAACGAAAGCGUGGGUAGCAAA